Molecule: transfer RNA, 73 nt
Filed under: Candidatus Melainabacteria bacterium RIFCSPLOWO2_02_FULL_35_15
Lineage: Bacteria; Bacillati; Candidatus Melainabacteria
Also listed under: 1 other name
Description: tRNA-Arg
Rfam family: tRNA
About the family: Transfer RNA (tRNA) molecules are approximately 80 nucleotides in length.
Source: RNAcentral
GCGCCCGUAGCUCAGUGGAUAGAGCAACCGCCUUCUAAGCGGUUGGUCGGACGUUCGAAUCGUCUCGGGCGCG